UAGAGUUGUGCUCCUUCUCUGCC
Molecule: non-coding RNA, 23 nt
Filed under: Rattus norvegicus (Norway rat)
Lineage: Eukaryota; Metazoa; Chordata; Mammalia; Rodentia; Muridae
Source: RNAcentral